This is a long non-coding RNA of Cucumis sativus (cucumber), 1600 nucleotides long. RefSeq lists it as uncharacterized. The record is from RefSeq and is a predicted model, not a curated record. NCBI's taxonomy places the organism in Eukaryota, Viridiplantae, Streptophyta, Magnoliopsida, Cucurbitales, Cucurbitaceae. The transcript is spliced from 2 exons.
UACAUUGUAAUCAAACUGAUCAAUACCAAGGCAAUCAAUUAAUGACCUACCAAAAAUCAAAUAAACCUAAUUAACUCCUCCAAUAUUAUCUCCCAAACCCUUGUUUUCAAGCUUGAACCAAAACAAAGAAAUCUCCAUUGAAGAUAAAGAACAGAUUUAUAUUGGCCGUCGUUGUUGUUGGUCGUACGUUGCUUGCCAGAACAUUCGUCAAGGAAACAAAACGAAAACCCACAGUCAUUCGUUCAUUGCUUGCUGGAACGGUCGUCAAAAAAAUAGCCUAUGCAUCGUCCGUCUAUAGAAGCAGUCGUCGCUUCAACCCAGAGUUCGUCGUUCCUCCAUCAAAGCAGUCGUUGCUGGAUCUACAAAAUAGCCCGACGUUCGUUCAUUGGUUGGAAUCGUUCGUUUGUCGUCUACAAAACAACUGUCCACUAUUCAUUCUGCCGUUCACCGUUUAGUUCGAGAUUGAUAAAGAUAAGGUUUACAAACUAUUAAUUUUCCUUUAUAAAGCAAUGCCUCCAAUUUUUGAUAAAUUUGAUAUUAGAGAUAUAUUGCUAGAAAGUAUCGUUGGUUCUUAUACGUUAGAGAAAUAAUGUUAAGAGCAAUCAGAUAAAUAGCAAGUUAUUAAAUUUAGUUUUACAAAACUAAAAGAACAUCUAACAAGUAGAUUUUUCAUUUUUUUUAGGAGUCAUCAAAAACACAAAAUAUUAGACCUUUACCAAGGUUAUUUAUAUUAAUAAAUAUAAAGAAGGAUUAGAGAUAUGAAAGAAAAGGUAACUGAAAGAAGAACAAAGGCCGGUGAAACAUUGAGAGCUGCGGAAUUAGUGGUGGAAAAAAACAAGCAAACAAAAACCCAAUAAAUCUUGCAAGUGAGGAAAAGAUGUGUGUUUUUAUUUUCUAUGUACAAAGAUUUUGAAAACAAAAAUGCUAACAAUAUUUGCACAAUAGAAAAUACAAAACACAAUGGGUGGAUCAUCGGUAGCAAAACGUGAUACCAAUAGAAAUACAAAAAAGAGAGCGAGAUUAAGUUAGAAAAGAAGUCAUUGAUCCCAAAGAAAACAAAGACCAAAUGCGCUCAUGGUAAUACAACUUUAUAUAUCUUCAAAUUCUAUUUAACUUACUAACUAAAUGUGCAAGUUGCAAAAAGGACAGUAGGAAAAAAGAAAAAAGCAAUUAAAGGAUGUAAAGAAAGAAAAAGGUUGAGGAGGAAGAAGAAACAAUUGAAGAUGAUGAGGAGCAAACAAAGAAAACAAUGAAGGUGAAACUUCAAGAUCAAUCAGUUAAGAGGCAUUAGUGUCGGAUGAGGGAACCAAGAAGAAGAAAACUGGCAAGGGAAAGAAGGUAUCAAGUGUGAAUAACAAAGGACAAGAAGUCAACAAAGCAAAAAGGAAAAACAUCAAUAAUACAACAAAAAAAGGGAUGCAUCCUUAUUACAAUCCACAAUAUUUGAGAUUUGUUUUAGUACAUCAUUUACUUUUGGCCAAUAUGUAGUUAAGAAAGUACAUAGUAUUCGGUAAUUGUGAUUGCGAAACCUAGAUAUUUAACUUAUAAUUGAACCCCAGUUAAUUAUUACUCCAAUGACAACAAAUUUUAUUGGAAUGCA